AUAGCCUCCCUCCCAGACCUGGCGGAGCUCCCUGGACCUGCUGGAUAUCUGUAGCCUCUUGUGUUGGCGAGGGUGAGAUGGACAAGCAGAUCUCUGGUUCAGGGUCCACAAACUGAUCAGAACAUGCAUGCAGGAGUCUAACAUGUGGUGUAAAGCAGCAUCCAGAUUCUGAAAAAGAUGGCUGGCUCUUGUUAUCAUCCAGAAACAGGAUGACAGAACAGGACUGGCCUCUAUCAAUAUCUUACAGCAGGUGGUUCAAAGAUUUUAACAGACAAAAUCACAACCUAAAAGAACCUCAGGGUGAAUAUGUUCACAGGCAGUAAUCUUUUUUUUAAUUUUUUUUUUUUGGAGGGGGGCUUCAAAAAACAGACUUUCUCUGUGAAACAAUCCUGGCUGUUCAGGAACUCUUCAGACCAGGCUGGCCUUGAACUCACAAAGAUCCACCUACCUCUGCUAGGACUAAAGGCAUGCACCACCACCGAUGGACCAGUUAGUAAACUUAUCCUUGUAGUGAGACAAGUGUCAUCACUCACCCCUACCUGAGCAGACAUGUUAAAGCUGGUUUCUCCCAACUUCUGUUGAGAGACUCAGUCAAUGGCUUGAAAGGCCAACAAGGUCACAAUGAAAUUCUUUUCCUUUUCUGAGAACCAAUUGUUAAACAUCUACCAGCACACCAUUGAUAAAAUUCAUCACACAAAACUG
Molecule: non-coding RNA, 702 nt
Organism: Cricetulus griseus (Chinese hamster)
Lineage: Eukaryota; Metazoa; Chordata; Mammalia; Rodentia; Cricetidae
Source: RefSeq, a predicted model, not a curated record